RNAcentral lists this ribosomal RNA (465 nucleotides) under uncultured bacterium. RNAcentral describes it as "bacterial SSU rRNA". It matches the Rfam family "Bacterial small subunit ribosomal RNA", at positions 29 to 506 of the family's 1533-position model. The record is from RNAcentral.
AUGAACGUUGGCGGCGUGGAUUAGGCAUGCAAGUCGAGCGAUAUCCCCCGCAAGGGGGUGAAAGCGGCGAAAGGGACAGUAACACGUAGAUUACCUACCCUCGGGCCCGGGAUAGCUGCGGGAAACUGCAGGUAAUACCGGAUAACAUCUCCAGAUCAAAGGUGUGAUUCCACCUGAGGAUGGGUCUGCGUCCUAUUAGCUUGUUGGUGGGGUAACGGCCUACCAAGGCAAUGAUGGGUAGUGGGUGUGAGAGCACGACCCGCGUCACUGGGACUGAGACACUGCCCAGACACCUACGGGUGGCUGCAGUCGAGGAUCUUCGGCAAUGGGCGCAAGCCUGACCGAGCGACGCCGCGUGCGGGAUGAAGGCCUUCGGGUUGUAAACCGCUGUCAGAGGGGAUGAAAUGCGUAAGGGUUCUCCCUUACGUUUGACAUAUCCUCAGAGGAAGUACGGGCUAAGUUCGU